Molecule: ribosomal RNA, 439 nt
Filed under: uncultured Endozoicomonas sp.
Lineage: Bacteria; Pseudomonadati; Pseudomonadota; Gammaproteobacteria; Oceanospirillales; Endozoicomonadaceae
Description: bacterial SSU rRNA
Rfam family: Bacterial small subunit ribosomal RNA
Source: RNAcentral
GAGUUUGAUCUUGGCUCAGAUUGAACGCUGGCGGCAGGCCUAACACAUGCAAGUCGAGCGGUAACAGGACUAGCUUGCUAGUUGCUGACGAGCGGCGGACGGGUGCGUAACACGUAGGAAUCUGCCCGGUAGUGGGGGAUAGCCCGGAGAAAUCCGGAUUAAUACCGCAUACGCCCUAAGGGGGAAAGAUGGCCUCUUCUCGAAGCUAUCACUAUCGGAUGAGCCUGCGUCGGAUUAGCUAGUUGGUGAGGUAAAGGCUCACCAAGGCGACGAUCCGUAGCUGGUCUGAGAGGAUGAUCAGCCACACUGGGACUGAGACACGGCCCAGACUCCUACGGGAGGCAGCAGUGGGGAAUAUUGCACAAUGGGCGCAAGCCUGAUGCAGCCAUGCCGCGUGUGUGAGAAGGCUCUAGGGUUGUAAAGCACUUUCUAGCGAGGA